RNAcentral lists this ribosomal RNA (253 nucleotides) under uncultured bacterium. RNAcentral's name for it is "partial 16S ribosomal RNA". It matches the Rfam family "Bacterial small subunit ribosomal RNA", at positions 524 to 776 of the family's 1533-position model. The record is from RNAcentral.
UACGUAGGUGGCAAGCGUUACUCGGAAUUACUAGGCGUAAAGCGCAGGUAGGUGGUUGGGCAAGUCCGUAAUGAAAUCUCCCGGCUUAACUGGGAGGGGUUUAGGGAUACUGCCCGACUCGAGUGUGGGAGAGGUGACUGGAAUUCCUGGUGUAGCGGUGAAAUGCGUAGAUAUCAGGAGGAACACCUAUGGCGAAAGCAGGUCACUGGCCCAAUACUGACGCUGAGCUGCGAAAGCUAGGGGAGCAAACAGG